Molecule: unclassified non-coding RNA, 341 nt
Filed under: soil metagenome
Description: partial contains 5.8S ribosomal RNA, internal transcribed spacer 2, and large subunit ribosomal RNA
Rfam family: 5.8S ribosomal RNA (bases 1-119)
Source: RNAcentral
GAUGAAGAAGCAGCGAAAUGCGAUAAGUAGUGUGAAUUGCAGAAUUCAGUGAAUCAUCGAAUCUUUGAACGCACAUUGCGCCCUUUGGUAUUCCAAAGGGCAUGCCUGUUCGAGCGUCAUUUGUACCCUCAAGCUUUGCUUGGUGUUGGGCGUCUUGUCUCUAGCUUUGCUGGAGACUCGCCUUAAAGUAAUUGGCAGCCGGCCUACUGGUUUCGGAGCGCAGCACAAGUCGCACUCUCUAUCAGCAAAGGUCUAGCAUCCAUUAAGCCUUUUUUUUCAACUUUUGACCUCGGAUCAGGUAGGGAUACCCGCUGAACUUAAGCAUAUCAAUAAGCGGAGGA